Molecule: ribosomal RNA, 253 nt
Filed under: uncultured bacterium
Lineage: Bacteria
Description: partial 16S ribosomal RNA
Rfam family: Bacterial small subunit ribosomal RNA
Source: RNAcentral
UACGUAGGGGGCAAGCGUUGUCCGGAUUUAUUGGGCGUAAAGAGCGUGUAGGCGGCCAGGUAGGUCAGCUGUGAAAACUCGAGGCUCAACCUCGAGACGUCGGUUGAAACCACCUGGCUAGAGUCCGGAAGAGGAGAGUGGAAUUCCUGGUGUAGCGGUGAAAUGCGCAGAUAUCAGGAAGAACACCCGUGGCGAAGGCGGCUCACUGGGUAUCUUCUGACGCUGAGGUACGAAAGCUAGGGGAGCGAACGGG